AAAGAUGAUAUUGUAUGGGCCUUUGAUUCCAAGGGAAAAUACACAACUAAAUCUCUAUAUGCUUAUUUAGAGAGAGGCCUGGCUGGGUGUGACUACAGAUGGAUCAAGGCUAAAUUGCCUGUCAAAAUCCAGAUCUUCCUCUGGCAACUCUUUCAAGAUGCUAUCUUGACUCGAGAUGUUAUGAAACGUAGAAAUUGGGCUGGCAAUCCUCGCUUUUCAUUUUGUGACUGUACAGAAACAUAUCUACAUUUGUUCUUUCUUCGUCAUGUGGCAAGGAUAGCCUGGAACACAGUUGGGGCAUUGCUUGCACUGAUCUUAGCCCUAACAAUUUGUGUCGGUUUUAUUCUUGGUGCUAUGUGUUCCUCCCUCAGGGGGAGCGAUAUUUCACGAUAG
RNAcentral lists this ribosomal RNA (393 nucleotides) under Triticum aestivum (bread wheat). RNAcentral's name for it is "partial small subunit ribosomal RNA". The record is from RNAcentral. Lineage: Eukaryota; Viridiplantae; Streptophyta; Magnoliopsida; Poales; Poaceae.